RNAcentral lists this ribosomal RNA (433 nucleotides) under uncultured bacterium. RNAcentral describes it as "partial 16S ribosomal RNA". It matches the Rfam family "Bacterial small subunit ribosomal RNA", at positions 29 to 507 of the family's 1533-position model. The record is from RNAcentral.
AACGAACGCUGGCGGCAUGCCUAACACAUGCAAGUCGAACGAGACCUUCGGGUCUAGUGGCGCACGGGUGCGUAACGGGUGGGAACCUGCCCUUAGGUUCGGAAUAACUCCCCGAAAGGGGUGCUAAUACCGGAUAAUGUCUUCGGACCAAAGAUUUAUCGCCUUUGGAUGGGCCCGCGUUGGAUUAGCUAGUUGGUAGGGUAAAAGCCUACCAAGGCGACGAUCCAUAGCUGGUCUGAGAGGAUGAUCAGCCACACUGGGACUGAGACACGGCCCAGAAUCCUACGGGAGGCAGCAGUGGGGAAUAUAGGAACGUGGGCGAAAGCCUGAUCCAGCAAUGCCGCGUGAGUGAUGAAGGCCUUAGGGUUGUAAAGCUCUUUUACCCGGGAUGAUAAUGACAGUACCGGGAGAAUAAGCUCCGGCUAACUCCGUG